Molecule: long non-coding RNA, 2875 nt
Organism: Pongo pygmaeus (Bornean orangutan)
Lineage: Eukaryota; Metazoa; Chordata; Mammalia; Primates; Hominidae
Exons: 4
Source: RefSeq, a predicted model, not a curated record
UUAUAUGAAAAUACUGAAGUUGAUCGUAGCAACUGAAGGCUGAUCCUGUGUGGGUAAAUGUAAACGCUGAAUUCCCACGUUCCAAUGUGCGACCUGGGAUUAAGGCAGCAAUUGAGCAGGGCAGGGUUUCACCAUGUUGCCCAGGCCGGUCUUGGAUUCCUGGACUCAAGCAAUCUGCCCACCUCAGCCUCCCAAAGCUGAAGUACAUUGGUGCAAUCUUGGCUCACUACAUCUCUACCCCAAGUUCAAGCAAUUCUCCUGCCUCAGCCUCCCAAGCAGCUGGGAUUACAGGUGAUGAUGCCACGCAAGUCUUGCAGCUGCCGAUAGUUUGUCCUCACCAAUUUGGAUUUUGGAGUUAAUGGGGAUAUAUCAUCACCUGAUAUUAGUCUAUUUAGGCUAAUAUAACGAAAUACAGACUGUGUGGCUUAAACAACAGAAAUUUAUUUUCUCCCAAUUCUGGAGGCUGGAGAGUCUAAGAUCAAAGUUCAGCAGCGUUCAAUUUCUGGUGAGGGCUCUUUUCCUGGCUUGCACAUGGCCACCUUCUUGCUCUGUCCUCAUACAAUCUUUCCUUGAUGCCUGUAAUGGAAGAAAGAGAGAUCUUCCCUCUCUUAUAAGGCCACCAAUCCUAUUGGAUUAUGGCCCCACCAUCAUGACCUCAUUUUUUUUUUUUGGGGACGGAGUCUCGCUUUGUUGCCCAGGCUGGAGUGCAGUGGCGCAAACUCGGCUCACUGCAAGCUCCACCUCCCGGGUUCACACCAUUCUCCUGCCUCAGCCUCCCGGGUAGCUGGGACUACAGGCACCCGCCAUCACGCUCGGCUAAAUUUUUUUUGUAUUUUUCACUAGAGACGGGGUUUCACCCUGUUAGCUAGGAUGGUCUCAAUCUCCUGACCUCAUGAUCUGCCCGCCUCGGCCUCCCAAAGUGCUGGGAUUACAGGCAUGAGCCACUGCGCCUGGCCAACCUCAUUUAAUCUUAAUAACCUCCUACAAGCCCAAUCUCCAAAUCACAUUUGAAGUUACACUGGGGGUUAAGCCUUCAAUAUAUAAAUUUGUGGUGGGUAGGGGGCAAUUCAGUCCAUAGCACCUAGGUGUUUUUUUUCUCUUUUUUUGAGACAGAGGCUUGCUCUGUCACCCAGGCUGGAGUGUAGUGAUGCAAUCUCGGCUCACUGCAACCUCCACCUCCCAGGUUCAAGUGAUUCUCCUGCCUCAGCCUCCCGAGUAGCUAGGACUACAGGCAUGUGCCACCACACUUGACUAAUUUUUGUGUUUUUUGUAGAAUCAAGGUUUCACCAUGUUGGCAAGGCUGAUCUCAAACUCCUGACCUCAGGUGAUCCACCUGCCUCGGGUCCCCAAAGUGCUGGGAUUUCAGGCCAUAGCACCUAGUUAUUUUGUAAACACUGUCCAUGGAUUUUUUGUUUUGUCACCCAGUUGCUAUGCUUUUAAUUGUGGAUCCAGAAAGAUUAAAAAGCUUGGCCGGGCGGAGUGGCUCAUGCCUGUAAUCCCAGUACUUUAGGAGGCUGAGGCAGGAGGAUCACUUGAGCCCAGAAGUUUGAGAACAACCCAGGCAAUGCAGUGAGAUUCCAUCUCUACAAAAAAUUUAAAAAUUAGCCAAGCAUGGUGGCAUGUGCCUGUAGUCCCAGCUGCUUGGGAGGCUGAGGUGAGAGGAUUGGUUAAACCUGAGAGGUCAAGGCUGCAGUGGGCCAUGAUUGUGCCACUGCACUGCAGCCUGGGCAACAGAGCAAGACCCUGUUCUCAAGAGAAAAAACUGUGUCACUUAAUAUGCUAAGUGAAAUAAGCCAGUCACAAAGGACAAAUACUGUAUGAUUCCACUAAUGUGAGGUACCUAGAGUAGUUAAAAUCAUAGAAACAGAAGGUAAAAUGAUUGUCGUCCAGGACUGGGGUUAAGAGGGAAUGAGGAAUUAUUUUUUGUUCAAUGGAACAGAGUUUCAGUUUGGGAAGAUGGAAAAAGUUCUGGAGAUAGAUGUGGCGAUGGUUGCGCAACAACGUGAAUGUGCUAAAUAUCACUGAAUUGUACACUUAAAAUGGUUAAAAUGGUCAUUUUUGGUUAUGUAUAUUUUACUAUAAUAAAAAAGGAAAAGUAGAAACACAUAAAACAGCAGUCCCCAACCUUUUUAGCACCAGGGACUAGUUUUAUGGAAGAUAAUUUUUCCACAGACCAGGGUAGGGGGAUGGUUUCAGGAUGAUUCAAGUGCCUCACAUUUAUUGUGCACUUGAUUUCUAUUAUUAUUACAUUGUAAUAUAUAAUAAAGUAAUUAUACAACUCACCAUAAUGUAGAGUCAGUGGGAGCCCUGAGCUUGUUUUCCUGCAAAUAGAUGGUCCCGUCUGGGUGUGAUGAGAGACAAUGACAGAUCAUCAGACAUUAGAUUCUCAUAAGGAGCAACCUAGAUCCCUUGCAUGUGCAGUUCACAGUAGGGUUCAUGCUCCUGUAAGAACCUAAUGCUGCCACUGAUCUGACAGGAAGCAGAGCUCAGGCAGUAAUACGAGCAAUGGGAAGCAGCUGUAAAUACAGAUGACGCCUCGCUCACGCCGCUCACCUCCUGCUGUGCAGCCUGGUUCCUAAAAGGCUUCAACCCCAACCCCCUGGGGUUGGGGACCCCUGACAUAGAAGACCCCAAAAAAGGACCCCAUCAAAAUUUGAAUGAUUCCACCCAUCAAUCACUGUGCUGGGAUUCCACCAACCCUUCACUUGACUGGAGACUAUUCAAAGAAUAAAGACUAUGAGUCCACUGAAAUGAUUGUGAAAUAUAAAGAUAGGUCUUACCGCAUCUGUAAGUCUCUUUCUUCUCCUGUAGCCUGAAAUAAAAAUAGACAAAGAAACUGGGUGCGGUGACUCAUGCCUGUAAUCCUAGCAUUUUG